GGGAUAACUCCGGGAAACCGGGGCUAAUACCGGAUAACAUUUUGAACCGCAUGGUUCGAAAUUGAAAGGCGGCUUCGGCUGUCACUUAUGGAUGGACCCGCGUCGCAUUAGCUAGUUGGUGAGGUAACGGCUCAACAAGGCAACGAUGCGUAGCCAACCUGAGAGGGUGAUCGGCCACUCUGGGACUGAGACACGGCCCAGACUCCUACGGGAGGCAGCAUUAGGGAAUCUUCCGCAAUGGACGAAAGUCUGACGGAGCAACGCCGCGUGAGUGAUGAAGGCUUUCGGGUCGUAAAACUCUGUUGUUAGGGAAGAACAAGUGCUAGUUGAAUAAGCUGGCACCUUGACGGUACCUAACCAGAAAGCCACGGCUAACUACGUGCCAGCAGCCGCGGUAAUACGUAUGUGGCAAGCGUUAUCCGGAAUUAUUGCGCGUAA
This 438-nucleotide ribosomal RNA is filed under the name Bacillus tropicus. RNAcentral's name for it is "bacterial SSU rRNA". It matches the Rfam family "Bacterial small subunit ribosomal RNA", at positions 140 to 563 of the family's 1533-position model. The record is from RNAcentral. Lineage: Bacteria; Bacillati; Bacillota; Bacilli; Caryophanales; Bacillaceae.